GGGGGGCCUUGCUUUAAACUUGCAAAGUCGAGCGGAAGGCCCUUCGGGGUACUCGAGCGGCGAACGGGUGAGUAACACGUGAGUAACCUGCCCUUGGCUCUGGGAUAAGCCUGGGAAACUGGGUCUAAUACCGGGUAUGACAUGCCCUCGCAUGGGGGUGUGUGGAAAGUUUUUUCGGCUGGGGAUGGGCUCGCGGCCUAUCAGCUUGUUGGUGGGGUGAUGGCCUACCAAGGCGACGACGGGUAGCCGGCCUGAGAGGGUGGUCGGUCACACUGGGACUGAGACACGGCCCAGACUCCUACGGGAGGCAGCAGUGGGGAAUAUUGCACAAUGGGCGGAAGCCUGAUGCAGCGACGCCGCGUGGAGGAUGAAGGCCUUCGGGUUGUAAACCUCUUUCAGCACCGGCGAAGGUGACGGUAGGUGCAGAAGAAGCGCCGGCUAACUACGUGCCAGCAGCCGCGGUAAUACGUAGGGCGCAAGCGUUGUCCGGAUUUAUUGGGCGUAAAGAGCUCGUAGGUGGUUUGUCGCGUCUGUCGUGAAAGCUUGGGGCUUAACUCCAGGUCUGCGGUGGAUACGGGCAGGCUAGAGGCAGGUAGGGGAGAACGGAAUUCCCGGUGUAGCGGUGAAAUGCGCAGAUAUUCGGGAGGAACACCGGUGGCGAAGGCGGUUCUCUUGGGCCUGUUCUGACGCUGAUGAGCGAAAGCGUGGGGAGCGAACAGGAUUAGAUACCCUGUUAGUCCACGCUGUAAACGUUGGGCGCUAGGUGUGGGGUUCUUCCACGGAUUUCCGCGGCCGUAGCUUAAUCCCUAUAAUCGCCCCCCGCCUGGGGACGAAGUUACGGGU
Molecule: ribosomal RNA, 843 nt
Filed under: uncultured bacterium
Lineage: Bacteria
Description: bacterial SSU rRNA
Rfam family: Bacterial small subunit ribosomal RNA
Source: RNAcentral